RNAcentral lists this ribosomal RNA (460 nucleotides) under uncultured bacterium. Its description in RNAcentral is "partial 16S ribosomal RNA". It matches the Rfam family "Bacterial small subunit ribosomal RNA", at positions 338 to 795 of the family's 1533-position model. The record is from RNAcentral.
CCUACGGGGGGCAGCAGUGAGGAAUAUUGGUCAAUGGGCGUAAGCCUGAACCAGCCAAGUAGCGUGAGGGAUGACGGUCCUAUGGUUUGUAAACCUCUUUUAUACGGGAAUACCGCGCCGUACGUGUCCCGUUUUGUAUGUACCUUAUGAAUAAGGAUCGGCUAACUCCGGGCCCGCAGCUGCGGUAAUACGGAAGGUCCGAGCGUUAUCCGGCUUUAUUGGGUUUAAAGGGUGCGUAGGCCGCAUUUUAAGUCUGCGGUGAAAGUGUGGGGCUCAACCAUAGAAUUGCCGUUGAAACUGGGGGGCUGGAGUAUGUGUGAGGCAGGCGGAAUUCGUGGUGUAGCGGUGAAAUGCUUAGAUAUGACGCAGAACCCCGAUUGCGAAGGCAGCCUGCCGAGGCAUGACUGACGCUGAUGCACGAAAGCGUGGGGAUCGAACAGGAUUAGAUACCCCUGUAGUC